RNAcentral lists this ribosomal RNA (311 nucleotides) under uncultured Anaerolineaceae bacterium. RNAcentral describes it as "bacterial SSU rRNA". It matches the Rfam family "Bacterial small subunit ribosomal RNA", at positions 1056 to 1382 of the family's 1533-position model. The record is from RNAcentral. Lineage: Bacteria; Bacillati; Chloroflexota; Anaerolineae; Anaerolineales; Anaerolineaceae.
CAGCUCGUGUCGUGAGAUGUUCGGUUAAGUCCGCUAACGAGCGCAACCCUCGCUGUGUGUUAUAUGUGUCACACAGGACUGCUGGUAUUAAGCCGGAGGAAGUGGGACGACGUCAAGUCAGCAUGACCUUUAUAUCCAGGGCUACACACACGCUACAAUGGUCAGUACAAUGGGUUGCCAAGCCGCGAGGCGGAGCCAAUCCUAAAAAGCUGGCCUCAGUUCAGAUUGCAGUCUGAAACUCGACUGCAUGAAGUCGGAGUUGCUAGUAAACGCAGGUCAGCUAUACUGCGUUGAAUACGUUCCCGGGGCUU